Herpailurus yagouaroundi (jaguarundi) is the source of this 3141-nucleotide long non-coding RNA. RefSeq lists it as uncharacterized. The transcript has 5 exons. Lineage: Eukaryota; Metazoa; Chordata; Mammalia; Carnivora; Felidae. The record is from RefSeq and is a predicted model, not a curated record.
GUGUGGACGGGGAGUGGGAAAGCGGGCCGCGCGAACCGGGGGUUGUGGACCCGGGAGCGGACGGCGGGGGCUGGGCAGCAGGUCGUAAGCUGUGUGGACCGGGAGUGGGAGAGCGGAUGAUGUGGAUUGGAGAGCAGCGAGGCGUGGAUGGUGAUGCGGGGGGCAAGGGCGGCGUGGAUGGAGAGCGGCAGGGAGCAGGCAGUGUAGACCGGGCUUGGGAGAGUGGGUGGUGUGGCUCCCGGAGCGGGCGAUGUGGGUCGGGUAGUGGGAAAGCGGGCGGUGUGGACAGGAGCGUGGCGAGGCGCCAGUGGUGAUAAGAGGAAAAGGGCGGCGUGGACGGAGAGCGGCCGGGGGCAGGCGGCUUAAACCCGGAGUGGGAGAGUGGGUGGCGUGGCGCCGGGAGCGGGCGGUGUGGAUGGCGAGGCGGAGGGCAGGGGCGGCGUGGAUCCGGACCGGCCUGGGAGAAGCGGGACUGGCUCUGCUGCCCCUUCCCCGGAGGCGUGGCUGGUGUGACCCUGGCAGCGACGCAUGACCAUUGCAAAUAUCGUUUCCACCCCUGUGCUGCACAAACCCACAGCCCACAGCUCCGGGGGCCCCUAAAGUUCCACUGAUAAAGUGUAAGAAGGGAUAAGCAGAUGGAAAAAGGAUUUGAAAUUGACAUCAGACAGGACUCAUUUGCCUCCUACACGGGAAGCUCCUGGGAAUCAACAGGAAAAAGAACAAAACAAUGCGGAAGCCUUGCCUAAAAAAAAAAAAAGAAAGAAACCACGUGUAGAAGAUGUUCCUUGGGCAGCUCGUGGCCUCUGACUCUGGAUAGUGGUAUUGCAUCAGCGUCCUGUUUCCCAAGCACGACAGCUACUGGGUGUGUGAUGUGGAGACGCCGUCCUUCUUGGAAAAUGCACUCUGAAGAAGUCAGGGCGGAACACGAUGUCUCCAGCACUCGAUCAGUUGAUCGCUAGAUGAUAGGUGCGCUGUCCUGAGCCCUGGGGAUACGCCCAGGAGCCAGCGUAGGAGGCCGUGAUCUGGGGUCAAGUGACAGGGACUUGGAAGAGGUGCCCCGUGCUCUGCGUCUUCCUUGGUGGCCGAAGCUGCUUCGCGGAGCAGACCCCACCCUACGUGCCUCAGGCUGUCUUGAAAUGUCUGUUUCGGGCUUGUUUCCGACUCACAAGCCCUCAACUUGGUGCGCCUCGACCUGCCUGCAGGAUGUCAGCUAGCAGAACACGGAACACAAAAACGGCAACGGCGAUGACUCUUCAAAGACCCAGGGCGAGCUCGCGUAGCAACGGGGCCCGGAACCCACUACACGAACCCCCUCCAGCAUGCUGCUGCCCGGGCCCCCCCCCCCCAGCAGGGUCUGGGAGCCUUUCGGGCCAGCCUGUGGCGCUCCUCGCGUGUGCACACGUGUAGGCGUGGAGGGCUUCUGGAGGAGGAGCCUUGUGGCUCUUUGGCAGCCGGCUAUUUUCCUGACCGAGCCCACGGAUGCUUCGGUGGCCGUGACAUAGACCAAAGCCGCCGGCGUCUGUCCAGAGGGGACGAAGGGCGCCUGCUGGCUCUCCCACGUCAAAUGCGUGUGGACGGCGGUGGAGUCUGGCCCCGCCCUGUCUGUGGACAAAGCAGCACGCCCGUGACUUUAAGGGCUCUUAAUUGGGUCUGGGGCCAAGGGAGAACUUGCCCUUGGCUCUGCCCAGGCUCAGCCGCAGAACAAGGCUCGAGAGCCCCGAGGUGUAGGCUGAAUGUCAUCUGAUCGGAGCUGCCGGAAAGAUCUUUUGGUUUUUUUUCCAUUUUCUCUUUGGAUAUAGUCAAACGGCCUAUUGGGAAGAAUCAUGGGGACGUUUCUACAACUGUCUAAGGCGGAGAGGCUGCGUGCGGGGGUCUCCUGGACCACGGGAAGGGAAGUACAGACGUGUGAGCGGCUUCACUCCUGCCGCGAGCCUGAGGUGCCGCAUCUGGGGACCACGAAGGUCCGUUCCCAGAGCUGUUCAAGUCCCCCUAAGCAUGCAGCGUAUCGCGAGAAGUCACCAGUUAGGGCGUGUUAUUGCACCAACCGCGGCCACCAACUGGACUGGACUUUGGCCAGCGGGGGGCAUUACACUGGUGCCUGCUGAUUAAUUACCCCGGCAUGGUGACAGGCUCCAGCCGGCGGGUCGCAGGGGCCGAGGAAGUGUUUCUGACAUGGGGACCUGCUUUAGGUUAAGCGUGGGGCCCCUGAAGGGCAUAUUAAUGUGGGCUCUCACCUGGAACGGAGGAGGGGAAGGCGGGAUCCGUUCUGUUAACUUAGAGUGCUCUGACCCCACAGCCCCCGGUCUCCCCAGGGGAACGGAAGCCCGAGGGGGGCAGGCUGGCCCCAUCCCCGGGUCAGCUGGAGGCCAGCAGUAACAGGUGCUGUCCUGGAGGGCCCCGUCUCCGAAGCCCGUCCUAGGUGUCCCCACACUGGAAUUUGGUCUGGGGUCUGGAGCCAGGGUCUGAGGUGUGAGCAGGGGUGCCGUCAUGGGUGGGGUCGCGUCCCUCCAAAAUUCCUGCGUUGGGGUCCUAAUCCCCAGCACCUCAGAACGUGGCCUUAUCUUACAGACGGGGUCCUUACAGAGGUGAUUAAUCCACAGGGCGUCAAGGCAAGUACUACACCAGCGUGGCCGUGCCCCUACAGAAAGAAGAGAUGCGGACAGGCACGCCCACAGGGAGCGUGCCAGGUGGAGGCAGGGAUGGGGUGACGCUUCGAUAAGCCAAGGAAGGCCAGAGACACUGCCAAACCCCAGAGGCCUGGCGAGAGCAUCCUGGCCCACAGGAGCCACCAGCCCUGCCCACGCCUCGACCUGGGGCUUCUGGCCUCCAGAGCUGGGGGGACUGUCCAUUGCUGAGCACAAGGCUGUGUGGAUCGCAAGAGGCCAGCCCGCCCUGCGGGGCACAGCGUCUGGUGCUCGAGAAGCGUGGGUUUGCACCAGAUUCCGAGGGAAACCUGAGCGCGGGGAGAGGCAAGAGGUAGGUGUUCAGAUUCCCUCAAAAGGGAAUCGGCACGUUGUCAAGCAACCCCUCUAAGUCGUUUCAAUGAAAUCGCACUUGACAUAACUAAAAUUCGAAUUCUUGCCGUAUCACGAUGGCAUAUCAAGGACCCCCAACCUGUGAAUAAAACUGGAAAAGCAGAAA